GCACAGCACUCCUACGGGAGGCAGCAGUGGGGAAUAUUGCACAAUGGGCGCAAGCCUGAUGCAGCCAUGCCGCGUGUAUGAAGAAGGCCUUCGGGUUGUAAAGUACUUUCAGCAGUGAGGAAGGUGGGUAUGUUAAUAGCAUAUUCAUUUGACGUUAGCUGCAGAAGAAGCACCGGCUAACUCCGUGCCAGCAGCCGCGGUAAUACGGAGGGUGCGAGCGUUAAUCGGAAUUACUGGGCGUAAAGCGCAUGCAGGUGGUUUGUUAAGUCAGAUGUGAAAGCCCGGGGCUCAACCUCGGAAUUGCAUUUGAAACUGGCAAACUAGAGUACUGUAGAGGGGGUAGAAUUUCAGGUGUAGCGGUGAAAUGCGUAGAGAUCUGAAGGAAUACCGGUGGCGAAGGCGGCCCCCUGGACAGAUACUGACACUCAGAUGCGAAAGCGUGGGGAGCAAACAGGAUUAGAUACCCGGGUAG
RNAcentral lists this ribosomal RNA (472 nucleotides) under uncultured bacterium. RNAcentral's name for it is "bacterial SSU rRNA". It matches the Rfam family "Bacterial small subunit ribosomal RNA", at positions 328 to 793 of the family's 1533-position model. The record is from RNAcentral.